This 377-nucleotide unclassified non-coding RNA is filed under the name uncultured Actinomycetes bacterium. RNAcentral describes it as "uncultured actinobacterium contains 16S-23S intergenic spacer region". Lineage: Bacteria; Bacillati; Actinomycetota; Actinomycetes. The record is from RNAcentral.
UCCGAGUUGACCCCGGCAGUCUCCUAUGAGUCCCCGCCAUUACGCGCUGGCAACAUAGAACGAGGGUUGCGCUCGUUGCGGGACUUAACCCAACAUCUCACGACACGAGCUGACGACAGCCAUGCACCACCUGUGCAGAGCCCUUGCGGACCCCACAUCUCUGUGAGUUUUCCCUGCAUGUCAAGCCCAGGUAAGGUUCUUCGCGUUGCAUCGAAUUAAGCCACAUGCUCCGCCGCUUGUGCGGGCCCCCGUCAAUUUCUUUGAGUUUUAGCCUUGCGGCCGUACUCCCCAGGCGGGGCGCUUAAUGCGUUAGCUGCGGCACGGACCUCGUGGAAUGAGGCCCACACCUAGCGCCCACCGUUUACAGCGUGGACUAC